RNAcentral lists this ribosomal RNA (457 nucleotides) under uncultured bacterium. RNAcentral's name for it is "bacterial SSU rRNA". It matches the Rfam family "Bacterial small subunit ribosomal RNA", at positions 340 to 788 of the family's 1533-position model. The record is from RNAcentral.
UACGGAAGGCAGCAGUAGGGAAUCUUCCGCAAUGGACGAAAGUCUGACGGAGCAACGCCGCGUGAACGAUGAAGGCUUUCGGGUCGUAAAGUUCUGUUGUUAGGGAAGAACAAGUACCGGAGUAACUGCCGGUACCUUGACGGUACCUAACCAGAAAGCCACGGCUAACUACGUGCCAGCAGCCGCGGUAAUACGUAGGUGGCAAGCGUUGUCCGGAAUUAUUGGGCGUAAAGCGCGCGCAGGCGGUCCUUUAAGUCUGAUGUGAAAGCCCACGGCUCAACCGUGGAGGGUCAUUGGAAACUGGGGGACUUGAGUGCAGAAGAGGAGAGUGGAAUUCCACGUGUAGCGGUGAAAUGCGUAGAGAUGUGGAGGAACACCAGUGGCGAAGGCGACUCUCUAGUCUGUAACUGACGCUGAGGCGCGAAAGCGUGGGGAGCGAACAGGGAUUAGAUACCCG